GCCGAACAGCUAGCCCACCUGAACAACUUCAACACCCCAAUAUUAAUACCCCUAAAUAUACAACCUACCACAAAACAAAUCAUUUUACCCCCUUAGUAUGGGAGACAGAAAAGGGAUUAGGCGCAAUAGAAAUAGUACCGCAAGGGAACGCUGAAAGAGAAAUGAAACAACCCAGUAAAGCACUAUAAAGCAGAGCUUAGCCCUCGUACCUUUUGCAUCAUGAUUUAGCCAGUGACCCCCAAGCAAAAAGAUUUUUAGUUUGUUAACCCGAAACUAAGGGAGCUACUCCAAGACAGCCUAAUAAUAGGGCACACCCGUCUCUGUUGCAAAAGAGUGGGGCGAGCUUUGAGUAGAGGUGACAAACCUACCGAACUUAGUUAUAGCUGGUUCCCCAAGAAAUGAAUAGAAGUUCAGCCUCCCGGAUUCUCCCUUCACCUCAGUGUACACACCCCCCCCGCCUGCCCUGUGACUAUAAGUUUAACGGCCGCGGUAUUUUGACCGCGCGAAGGUAGCGCAAUCACUUGUCUCUUAAAUGGAGACCUGUAUGAAUGGCACAACGAGGGCUUAGCUGUCUCCUCCCCUAAGUUAAUGAAAUUGAUCUCCCCGUGCAGAAGCGGGGAUAAAUACAUAAGACGAGAAGACCCUAUGAAGCUUUAGACGUAAGGUAGCCCAAAAUACAAUGGCCCCCUAACAAGGGGACAAACCAAAAGGCCCCCUACCCCAAUGUCUUUGGUUGGGGCGACCGCGGGGAAAGAAAAAACCCCCACGUGGAACGGGAGUACAACUCCUUAAACUAAGAGCCCCAGCUCUAAGAAACAAAAUUUUUGACCUAUAGAUCCGGCAGUGCCGAUCAACGGACCGAGUUACUCUAGGGAUAACAGCGCAAUCCCCUUUUAGAGACCAUAUCAACAAGGGGGUUUACGACCUCGAUGUUGGAUCAGGACAUCCUAUUGGUGCAGCAGCUAUUAAGGGUUCGUUUGUUCAACGAUUAAAGUCCUACGUGAUCUGAGUUCAGACCGGAGCAAUCCAGGUCAGUUUCUAUCUAUGCCAUAUUCUUCUCUAGUACGAAAGGACCGAAAAGAAGGGGUCACUAUAUUUUAUACACCCUCCCUCUACCUAAUGAAAACAACUAAAAUAGACAAGGAGGUAUGCUUUCCCUGCCAGAGAAAAUGGCA
Molecule: ribosomal RNA, 1175 nt
Filed under: Chionodraco hamatus (Antarctic icefish)
Lineage: Eukaryota; Metazoa; Chordata; Actinopteri; Perciformes; Channichthyidae
Description: partial 16S ribosomal RNA
Rfam family: Bacterial large subunit ribosomal RNA
Source: RNAcentral